This 400-nucleotide ribosomal RNA is filed under the name Hyalomma marginatum. RNAcentral describes it as "partial large subunit ribosomal RNA". The record is from RNAcentral. Lineage: Eukaryota; Metazoa; Arthropoda; Arachnida; Ixodida; Ixodidae.
UUUUUAAAUUGCUGUGGUAUUUUGACUAUACAAAGGUAUUGUAAUAAGAUUUUAAUUGAAUGCUAAAAGAAUGGAAAUUUAAAAAAAAACUUUUUUAAAAAUAAAAAUUGAAUUUUUUUUAAUUUGUGCAAAAACAAUUAUAUUUAUUAAAGACAAGAAGACCCUAAGAAUUUAAGAUUUUACAAUUAAAAAGUUUUUUUUUUAAAAUCUUGAUUGGGGCGAUCAAAAAAUAUUAAUAACUUUUUAAAAUUUAAAUUGAUCUAUUAUUAAUAAACUAAUGAAUUAAAUACUCUAGGGAUAACAGCGUAAUAAUUUUUGAUAGAUCUUAUUGACAAAAUAGUUUGCGACCUCGAUGUUGGAUUAGGAUUCUUUUUUAAUGAAGAAGUUAAAAAAAGAAGUU